This 468-nucleotide ribosomal RNA is filed under the name uncultured bacterium. Its description in RNAcentral is "partial 16S ribosomal RNA". It matches the Rfam family "Bacterial small subunit ribosomal RNA", at positions 28 to 507 of the family's 1533-position model. The record is from RNAcentral.
GACGAACGCUGGCGGCGUGCUUAACACAUGCAAGUCGAAUGGAAAGGCCCUGCUUUUGUGGGGUGCUCGAGUGGCGAACGGGUGAGUAACACGUGAGUAACCUGCCCUUGACUUUGGGAUAACUUCAGGAAACUGGGGCUAAUACCGGAUAGGAGCUCCUGCUGCAUGGUGGGGGUUGGAAAGUUUCGGCGGUUGGGGAUGGACUCGCGGCUUAUCAGCUUGUUGGUGGGGUAGUGGCUUACCAAGGCUUUGACGGGUAGCCAGCCUGAGAGGGUGACCGGCCACAUUGGGACUGAGAUACGGCCCAGACUCCUACGGGAGGCAGCAGUGGGGAAUAUUGCACAAUGGGCGGAAGCCUGAUGCAGCAACGCCGCGUGCGGGAUGACGGCCUUCGGGUUGUAAACCGCUUUCGCCUGUGACGAAGCGUGAGUGACGGUAAUGGGUAAAGAAGCACCGGCUAACUACGUG